CCUACGGGAGACAGCAGUGAGGAAUAUUGGUCAAUGGACGAGAGUCUGAACCAGCCAAGUAGCGUGAAGGAUGACUGCCCUAUGGGUUGUAAACUUCUUUUAUCUGGGAAUAAAGUGUUCCACGUGUGGGAUUUUGUAUGUACCAUAUGAAUAAGGAUCGGCUAACUCCGUGCCAGCAGCCGCGGUAAUACGGAGGAUCCGAGCGUUAUCCGGAUUUAUUGGGUUUAAAGGGAGCGUAGGGGGAUUGUUAAGUCAGUUGUGAAAGUUUGCGGCUCAACCGUAAAAUUGCAGUUGAAACUGGCAGUCUUGAGUACAGUAGAGGUGGGCGGAAUUCGUGGUGUAGCGGUGAAAUGCUUAGAUAUCACGAAGAACUCCGAUUGCGAAGGCAGUUCACUGGACUGCAACUGACACUGAGGCUCGAAAGUGUGGGUAUCAAACAGGAUUAGAUACCCCAGUAGUC
RNAcentral lists this ribosomal RNA (460 nucleotides) under uncultured bacterium. RNAcentral describes it as "partial 16S ribosomal RNA". It matches the Rfam family "Bacterial small subunit ribosomal RNA", at positions 338 to 795 of the family's 1533-position model. The record is from RNAcentral.